Jatropha curcas is the source of this 841-nucleotide long non-coding RNA. RefSeq lists it as uncharacterized. Lineage: Eukaryota; Viridiplantae; Streptophyta; Magnoliopsida; Malpighiales; Euphorbiaceae. The record is from RefSeq and is a predicted model, not a curated record.
UAUCGAUACUCGCUGUUUCACUAACUCGUUUUUCCCCCAAAAUCCCUAAUCCCUAAACCUGAUUCUCUUCUCUCUACCUCUCCUAUUUCUUCUUCUCCUUCUUCCUUUGCGAUAAUGGUGAGUCGCAGUAGCCCAAAUCCCUAAUCUCAUCUCCUCUUCUUGCUUUUGAUUUGCUAACUUUCUUGCCGUUUUUGUUGAGUUGUAUCCUUGAAUACGUUUAUGGAAUCUGAAAGUGAAGAUAGCGCUAGGUCAGUGAACUCCAUUGUUGCUUGAUCUAGACUGAGAUGUCGGCGUAAUCUUCCCGUCCAAAUAAUGACAUCGUGGAGUAGAACAAAUCUAAGUAGACAAUUCUGUCGAUGCCCAUAUUGGAUAAAGAAGGUGGAUGGACAGUGAACUUCCACCCAGGAGCAUGGAGAUUGUAAACAACAUGUUUGCAAGAAUUGAUGGGUUGAAAACUAUUGCGCAAAUGUUGAAGGAGAAAAAUUUGGAGCUGGAAAGAAAAAUGAAUGAGGCAGAGAAGGUAGAGUAGAAGAAAGCAUCUAAGAAAGAAUUGAAGGCCCAAAUGUUGCUUCUCACUCAUAGCAAUAGUACACUUAAUUUCCAGUAUGAAGGAAAAGAAGAAAAUGAGGCUAGUUGGUUGAAGUGUUUUUGUGUAGGAAUUGUGUUAAUAUGCUUAAUGCACAAGGUUGCGCUUAAGUAGAACCUCAAUGAUGUUUAAUGUGCUUAUUUGGUUAGUUGCGGUAGUAGCUUUUUUGUCCAAAAAGCUCAAUUAAUGUGCUUGUUUGUAGAACCUGAAUUGCAAUUGAAUGUAAAAGCAGUCAUUUGGUUAUUUUGCUGUCAA